GGAGGAGUGGCUGAGUGGUUAAAGGCAUCUGUCUUGAAAACAGACGUGGGUGUAAGCCCACCGGGGGUUCGAAUCCCUCCUCCUCCG
Molecule: transfer RNA, 87 nt
Filed under: Cephaloticoccus primus
Lineage: Bacteria; Pseudomonadati; Verrucomicrobiota; Opitutia; Opitutales; Opitutaceae
Also listed under: 1 other name
Description: tRNA-Ser
Rfam family: tRNA
About the family: Transfer RNA (tRNA) molecules are approximately 80 nucleotides in length. Their secondary structure includes four short double-helical elements and three loops (D, anti-codon, and T loops).
Source: RNAcentral